UGGCGACCGGCGCACGAGUGCGUAACGCGUAUGCAACCUACCCAUAACAGGGGGAUAACACUGAGAAAUUGGUACUAAUACCCCAUAACAUCAGGACCGGCAUCGGUUCUGGUUGAAAACUCCGGUGGUUAUGGAUGGGCAUGCGUUGUAUUAGCUGGUUGGUGAGGUAACGGCUCACCAAGGCAACGAUACAUAGGGGGACUGAGAGGUUAACCCCCCACAUUGGUACUGAGACACGGACCAA
RNAcentral lists this ribosomal RNA (244 nucleotides) under uncultured bacterium. RNAcentral describes it as "partial 16S ribosomal RNA". It matches the Rfam family "Bacterial small subunit ribosomal RNA", at positions 89 to 334 of the family's 1533-position model. The record is from RNAcentral.